GAUGAACGCUGGCGGCGUGCCUAAUACAUGCAAGUCGAGCGAACAGACGAGGAGCUUGCUCCUCUGACGUUAGCGGCGGACGGGUGAGUAACACGUGGAUAACCUACCUAUAAGACUGGGAUAACUUCGGGAAACCGGAGCUAAUACCGGAUAAUAUAUUGAACCGCAUGGUUCAAUAGUGAAAGACGGUUUUGCUGUCACUUAUAGAUGGAUCCGCGCCGCAUUAGCUAGUUGGUAAGGUAACGGCUUACCAAGGCAACGAUGCGUAGCCGACCUGAGAGGGUGAUCGGCCACACUGGAACUGAGACACGGUCCAGACUCCUACGGGAGGCAGCAGUAGGGAAUCUUCCGCAAUGGGCGAAAGCUUGACGGAGCAACGCCGCGUGAGUGAUGAAGGUCUGCGGAUCGUAAAACUCUGUUAUUAGGGAAGAACAAAUGUGUAAGUAACGAUGCACGUCUUGACGGUACCUAAGCAGAAAGCCACGGCUAACUACGU
This 496-nucleotide ribosomal RNA is filed under the name uncultured bacterium. RNAcentral's name for it is "partial 16S ribosomal RNA". It matches the Rfam family "Bacterial small subunit ribosomal RNA", at positions 28 to 506 of the family's 1533-position model. The record is from RNAcentral.